Molecule: long non-coding RNA, 1283 nt
Organism: Pleuronectes platessa (European plaice)
Lineage: Eukaryota; Metazoa; Chordata; Actinopteri; Pleuronectiformes; Pleuronectidae
Exons: 7
Source: RefSeq, a predicted model, not a curated record
CCAAGUUAUAAAUUCGACUUCCCUUUUCCUCAUCGCUCCUUCAUCAUAAUUUCUCCUCCUCCUCCUCCAUUCUGGAUCUGUCAGGGAGCUUAAUGUGAUCGAUCGGCCAGGCCCUUUCAAGAUCAGCACCAGUAUAAGCAUCUCUUCCCCUAACACACAUGCUGCCUCUUUCCCCUCAGGUCCGUGCUGUGAGAGGCGUCGAGUGACUCAGUUUACCACACGCCCCCGCUGGCCUGCGAUCGAAUCCUGCCAGAGCUCCUGACUCCACUCUGUCUCCCCCUCUGCUGUCUCAACAAUUAAAUCAGUCAAGGCACGUUUCCCUUCAAAGUCCAGAGCGUGGAGGAGUGAGGGAAGAAGAGAAAUCGCUGUGUGACGAAGGGGGAGAUGAGGCAACACCGACGAGGCUGGAGUGAAAUAGAGAUGCAAGGCUGCAAGUCGAGAGGGAAAGCCCUAACUCAAGAGUGAGGAAGAGGGAGCGGAAAGAAGGAAUCAAGUUGGAAUCGGGGAAAGAGACGCGGGAAAAGUCGACCUCCGGUUCACAUCUGAGGACCACCGGGCAAACUUUGGAGAGGGAGUAAUCUCAAGGUGGACCGAUGUCGUAGAUGCCCUCCCUGUCCCGCUCUUCAUCUUCUUCUCCACAACCACUGAAAACGGUUGUAAUCCUAACUGAAUCUUGUGGAUCUCGUAUCUAGAAAAGUAUCAAGAAAUAAAGAUAUUGCACAUUUUCAUUAUGUUUUAACUAACGAUUUGGCUGUGUAUGUAUAAAGAGUUUUGGUUAGGAUACUUUUAAGCCUGUUAUUCUGCUACUAUUAUCUUUAACACAUUUGUGUGAGAUCACUGAGCUCUGAACAGCUAUAGACUCAGUAUAAGCUCAAUAAAUCAUGUUCAAAAUCCCCUUGUCAUUUACCAACAGUUUAAAAUAAAUAGUUCCUCCUAAAUGAAUUGCGUCUCCCCCACAAUGCGCUCAUCUGCUGCAUUGCUGAAAAACGAUGUUCAGCAAAACAAAAGACGAUUGUGGGAGAAAUGCAGACAAAAAGGUCAGGAUUAUGUUUUAAUUGAACUGAUCGGUUUUGCUUCUGAUCUGCAGCAAACCAGGGAGACCGCUCGCUGCUGCAGAAUCCCAACGUCAGAUGAGGUCAUGUCUUUGUCUGGGUGCAGCGGCUCUGCAGUUCCUAAUUUUUAAUACGUUUCAUCUCACCGAUGUUCCUUUUUUGCACAUUCGGUUGCUCUAUAGUUAAAACCCUUCCUGGGUAGUUUAAUUUGACAGUAUGCCCCUCUGUCCC